AAAGUCGUAACAAGGUAACCGUAGGUGAACCUGCGGUUGGAUCAUUAAUAAAUUCAACGGGACCGGUCAGUUUCGGCUGAUGCGGUCUCUGGCCUUCGGGCCUUAAACCCACUGUGAACUGUAUACUUGGUCUGAGCUUGCUUAGGCCAAAUUUUUUAAACAUUAUCUUGAGUGUCUUAUCCAAAAAUCAAUUAAAACAACUUUUGACAACGGAUCUCUAGGCUCUC
This 227-nucleotide unclassified non-coding RNA is filed under the name Chytridiomycota sp. RNAcentral describes it as "partial contains small subunit ribosomal RNA, internal transcribed spacer 1, and 5.8S ribosomal RNA". The stretch from base 1 to 47 matches the Rfam family "Eukaryotic small subunit ribosomal RNA", at positions 1785 to 1831 of the family's 1831-position model. Lineage: Eukaryota; Fungi; Chytridiomycota. The record is from RNAcentral.